UACGUAGGAUGCAAGCGUUGUCCGGAAUUAUUGGGCGUAAAGAGCGCGCAGGCGGUCUAUCAAGUCAGAUGUGAAAUAUCCAGGCUUAACCUGGAGGGGUCAUUUGAAACUGGUAGACUAGAGUACAGCAGAGGAUAGUGGAAUUCCCGGUGUAGUGGUGAAAUGCGUAGAUAUCGGGAGGAACACCAGUGGCGAAGGCGGCUCACUGGCCCGAUACUGACGCUGAGGUGCGAAAGCGUGGGGAGCAAACAGG
Molecule: ribosomal RNA, 253 nt
Filed under: uncultured bacterium
Lineage: Bacteria
Description: partial 16S ribosomal RNA
Rfam family: Bacterial small subunit ribosomal RNA
Source: RNAcentral